GUGCCUAACACAUGCAAGUCGAGCGAGAAAGGGUAGCAAUAUCCGAGUACAGCGGCGCACGGGUGAGUAACACGUGGGUAAUCUGCCUCGAAGUGGGGAAUAACACCGGGAAACCGGUGCUAAUACCGCAUAAUCUGAUGGGAUCUGCGGAUUUUAUCAGCAAAGGAGCAAUUCGCUUUGAGAGGAGCCCGCGGCUGAUUAGCUAGUUGGUGAGGUAAUGGCUCACCAAGGCCACGAUCAGUAGCCGGUCUGAGAGGACGGUCGGCCACACUGGAACUGAGACACGGUCCAG
RNAcentral lists this ribosomal RNA (292 nucleotides) under uncultured bacterium. RNAcentral describes it as "partial 16S ribosomal RNA". It matches the Rfam family "Bacterial small subunit ribosomal RNA", at positions 44 to 334 of the family's 1533-position model. The record is from RNAcentral.